RNAcentral lists this ribosomal RNA (942 nucleotides) under uncultured archaeon. Its description in RNAcentral is "bacterial SSU rRNA". It matches the Rfam family "Archaeal small subunit ribosomal RNA", at positions 1 to 922 of the family's 1478-position model. The record is from RNAcentral.
UUCCGGUUGAUCCUGCCGGACCUUACUGCUAUCGGGGUGGGACUAAGACAUGCGAGUCGAGCGUCUCUAGCUAUGUUGAGACGCGGCAGACGGCUCAGUAACACGUGGCUAACCUACCCUCAGGACGAGGAUAAACCCGGGAAACUGGGGCUAAUACUCGAUAGGUGAGAAUGUCUGGAAUGAUUUCUCAUUCAAAGGGCUUUAGAAACAUGCUUCUAAAGUCGCCUGGGGAUGGGGCCGCGUCCGAUCAGGUUGUUGGUGAGGUAACGGCUCACCAAGCCUAUAACCGGUACGGGCCGUGAGAGCGGUAGCCCGGAGAUGGGUACUGAGACAAGGACCCAGGCCCUACGGGGCGCAGCAGUCGCGAAAACUCCGCAAUGCACGAAAGUGUGACGGGGCUACCCCGAGUGCCAUCCGCUGAGGAUGGCUUUUCUUUGGUGUAACUAGCCGGGGGAAUAAGGAGAGGGCAAGACUGGUGUCGGCCGCCGCGGUAGUACCAGCUCUCCGAGUGGUAGGGAUGAUUAUUGGGCUUAAAGCGUCCGUAGCCGGCUUAGCAAGUCUCCUGUUAAAUUCAGCGACCUAAUCGUUGAGCCGCGGGAGAUACUACUAGGCUAGGAGGCGGGAGAGGUCGACGGUACUUCUGGGGUAGGGGUGAAAUCCUAUAAUCCCGGGAGGACCACCAGUGGCGAAGGCUGUUGACUAGAACGCGCUCGACGGUGAGGGACGAAAGCUGGGGGAGCGAACCGGAUUAGAUACCCGGGUAGUCCCAGCCGUAAACGAUGCGGGCUAGGUGUUGGGGUGGCUACGUGCCACUUCAGUGCCGCAGGGAAGCCAUUAAGCCCGCCGCCUGGGGAGUACGGCCGCAAGGCUGGAACUUAAAGGAAUUGGCGGGGGAGCACCACAAGGCGUGAAGCUUGCGGUUCAAUUGGACUCAACGCCGAA